This 625-nucleotide ribosomal RNA is filed under the name uncultured Staphylococcus sp. Its description in RNAcentral is "bacterial SSU rRNA". It matches the Rfam family "Bacterial small subunit ribosomal RNA", at positions 192 to 805 of the family's 1533-position model. Lineage: Bacteria; Bacillati; Bacillota; Bacilli; Caryophanales; Staphylococcaceae. The record is from RNAcentral.
GUUCAAUAGUGAAAGACGGUUUUGCUGUCACUUAUAGAUGGAUCCGCGCCGCAUUAGCUAGUUGGUAAGGUAACGGCUUACCAAGGCGACGAUGCGUAGCCGACCUGAGAGGGUGAUCGGCCACACUGGAACUGAGACACGGUCCAGACUCCUACGGGAGGCAGCAGUAGGGAAUCUUCCGCAAUGGGCGAAAGCCUGACGGAGCAACGCCGCGUGAGUGAUGAAGGUCUUCGGAUCGUAAAACUCUGUUAUUAGGGAAGAACAAAUGUGUAAGUAACUAUGCACGUCUUGACGGUACCUAAUCAGAAAGCCACGGCUAACUACGUGCCAGCAGCCGCGGUAAUACGUAGGUGGCAAGCGUUAUCCGGAAUUAUUGGGCGUAAAGCGCGCGUAGGCGGUUUUUUAAGUCUGAUGUGAAAGCCCACGGCUCAUCCGUGGAGGGUCAUUGGAAACUGGAAAACUUGAGUGCAGAAGAGGAAAGUGGAAUUCCAUGUGUAGCGGUGAAAUGCGCAGAGAUAUGGAGGAACACCAGUGGCGAAGGCGACUUUCUGGUCUGUAACUGACGCUGAUGUGCGAAAGCGUGGGGAUCAAACAGGAUUAGAUACCCUGGUAGUCCACGCCGUAA